Molecule: long non-coding RNA, 257 nt
Filed under: Mytilus galloprovincialis (Mediterranean mussel)
Lineage: Eukaryota; Metazoa; Mollusca; Bivalvia; Mytilida; Mytilidae
Source: RNAcentral
GUUGGAUCAAAUCAAUCUAUAGUGCUUAUCAGUGUUUUGGCAUCAUAUGGUACCUUGUUCACUAUGUCAUUGAAUAUAAUUAUGAGAGAUGGUUAUCUACCCCAAAUCUGGAAGCUUAAACAUUUAUUAGAUGAUUAAGUUUCAGAUAUUUUUGGCUAUUUAUAACCCUUACUAAUCAUUUGAACAUGUACAUUGCCUGAUAUGACUUUUUUAAAGAGGUUUUUCAUUUUUCCCAAUUUAUUUUUCCUUUCUGUAAU